This 440-nucleotide ribosomal RNA is filed under the name uncultured bacterium. Its description in RNAcentral is "partial 16S ribosomal RNA". It matches the Rfam family "Bacterial small subunit ribosomal RNA", at positions 338 to 795 of the family's 1533-position model. The record is from RNAcentral.
CCUACGGGUGGCAGCAGUGGGGAAUAUUGCACAAUGGGGGAAACCCUGAUGCAGCGACGCCGCGUGAGUGAAGAAGUAAUUCGUUAUGUAAAGCUCUAUCAGCAGGGAAGAAAAUGACGGUACUUGAGUAAGAAGCCCCGGCUAACUACGUGCCAGCAGCCGCGGUAAUACGUAGGGGGCAAGCGUUAUCCGGAUUUACGGGGUGUAAAGGGAGCGCAGGCGGCACGGCAAGCCUGAUGUGAAAGCCCGCGGCCCAACCGCGGGACUGCAUUGGGAACUACCGGGCUGGAGUGCCGGAGAGGUAGGCGGAAUUCCUAGUGUAGCGGUGAAAUGCGUAGAUAUUAGGAGGAACACCAGUGGCGAAGGCGGCCUACUGGACGGUGACUGACGCUGAGGCUCGAAAGCGUGGGGAGCAAACAGGAUUAGAUACCCCUGUAGUC